UACGAAGGGGGCUAGCGUUGCUCGGAAUCACUGGGCGUAAAGCGCGUGUAGGCGGCUCUGCAAGUCGGAUGUGAAAUCCCACGGCUCAACCAUGGAAGUGCAUUCGAAACUGCAGGGCUAGAGUCCUGGAGAGGAAGGUGGAAUGCUUGGUGUAGAGGUGAAAUUCGUAGAUAUCAAGCGGAACACCGGUGGCGAAGGCGGCCUUCUGGACAGUGACUGACGCUGAGACGCGAAAGCGUGGGGAGCAAACAGG
This 253-nucleotide ribosomal RNA is filed under the name uncultured bacterium. RNAcentral's name for it is "partial 16S ribosomal RNA". It matches the Rfam family "Bacterial small subunit ribosomal RNA", at positions 524 to 776 of the family's 1533-position model. The record is from RNAcentral.